This 70-nucleotide transfer RNA is filed under the name Loxodonta africana (African savanna elephant). It matches the Rfam family "tRNA". Rfam says of the family: Transfer RNA (tRNA) molecules are approximately 80 nucleotides in length. Their secondary structure includes four short double-helical elements and three loops (D, anti-codon, and T loops). Lineage: Eukaryota; Metazoa; Chordata; Mammalia; Proboscidea; Elephantidae. The record is from Rfam by way of RNAcentral.
UCAUUGGUGGUUUAGUGGUAGAAUUCUUGCCUUCCAUGCAGGAGACCCAGGUUCCAUUCUGACCAAUGCA